This 253-nucleotide ribosomal RNA is filed under the name uncultured bacterium. RNAcentral describes it as "partial 16S ribosomal RNA". It matches the Rfam family "Bacterial small subunit ribosomal RNA", at positions 524 to 776 of the family's 1533-position model. The record is from RNAcentral.
UACGUAGGGUGCGAGCGUUAAUCGGAAUUACUGGGCGUAAAGCGUGCGCAGGCGGUUUUGUAAGCCAGAUGUGAAAGCCCCGGGCUUAACCUGGGAAUGGCGUUUGGGACUGCAUGGCUAGAGUACGUCAGAGGGGGGUGGAAUUCCACGUGUAGCAGUGAAAUGCGUAGAGAUGUGGAGGAACACCGAUGGCGAAGGCAGCCCCCUGGGAUGAUACUGACGCUCAGGCACGAAAGCGUGGGGAGCAAACAGG